CGGCUAACUCCGUGCCAGCAGCCGCGGUAAUACGGAGGAUGCGAGCGUUAUCCGGAUUUAUUGGGUUUAAAGGGAGCGCAGACGGGUCGUUAAGUCAGCUGUGAAAGUUUGGGGCUCAACCUUAAAAUUGCAGUUGAAACUGGAGACCUUGAGUACGGUUGAGGCAGGCGGAAUUCGUGGUGUAGCGGUGAAAUGCUUAGAUAUCACGAAGAACUCCGAUUGCGAAGGCAGCUCACUGGAGCGCAACUGACGCUGAAGCUCGAAAGUGCGGGUAUCGAACAGGAUUAGAUACCCUGGUAGUCCGCACGGUAAACGAUGGAUGCCCGCUGUUGGCCUGAAUAGGUCAGCGGCCAAGCGAAAGCCAUAAGCAUCCCACCUGGGGAGUACGCCGGCAACGGUGAAACUCAAAGGAAUUGACGGGGGCCCGCACAAGCGGAGGAACAUGUGGUUUAAUUCGAUGAUACGCGAGGAACCUUACCCGGGCUUGAAUUGCAGAGGAAGGAUUUGGAGACAAUGACGCCCUUCGGGGCCUCUGUGAAGGUGCUGCAUGGUUGUCGUCAGCUCGUGCCGUGAGGUGUCGGCUUAAGUGCCAUAACGAGCGCAACCCCUCUCCUUAGUUGCCAUCAGGUUAAGCUGGGCACUCUGGGGACACUGCCACCGUAAGG
Molecule: ribosomal RNA, 665 nt
Filed under: Thalassococcus profundi
Lineage: Bacteria; Pseudomonadati; Pseudomonadota; Alphaproteobacteria; Rhodobacterales; Roseobacteraceae
Description: Bacterial small subunit ribosomal RNA
Rfam family: Bacterial small subunit ribosomal RNA
Source: Rfam by way of RNAcentral